Molecule: microRNA precursor, 99 nt
Organism: Corchorus capsularis
Lineage: Eukaryota; Viridiplantae; Streptophyta; Magnoliopsida; Malvales; Malvaceae
Rfam family: mir-172 microRNA precursor family
About the family: mir-172 has been experimentally verified in Arabidopsis thaliana. This family is thought to target mRNAs coding for APETALA2-like transcription factors. The mature sequence is excised from the 3' arm of the hairpin.
Source: Rfam
UUGUUUGCGGGUGUAGCAUCAUCAAGAUUCACAUGCAAAUGAAACGGGAGAGUUGUUCUUUGAAAGUGAGAAUCUUGAUGAUGCUGCAUCGGCAAUAAA